This 233-nucleotide ribosomal RNA is filed under the name uncultured bacterium. RNAcentral's name for it is "partial 16S ribosomal RNA". It matches the Rfam family "Bacterial small subunit ribosomal RNA", at positions 118 to 351 of the family's 1533-position model. The record is from RNAcentral.
UGAGCAAUCUGCCCUUCUCUUUGGAAUAAGCGUUGGAAACGACGUCUAAUGCCGAAUACGACCUCCUUUCGCAUGAUCGGAGGUGGAAAGCUCCGGCGGAGAAGGAUGGGCUCGCGGCCUAUCAGCUAGUUGGUGUGGGUAACGGCCCACCAAGGCGACGACGGGUAGCCGGCCUGAGAGGGUGACCGGCCACACUGGGACUGAGACACGGCCCAGACUCCUACGGGAGGCAG